GGUAUUUUUGCACAGUGAGGACCUUCUCUGGCUGUCCGAUUGGAGUCAAGUAUUGUCGCACGGUGAGGACAUUCUCUGGCUGUACAAUUGGAGACCAGUGAUUGUGAGUCUCCUGUAUCACCUGAAACCAUCUCUUCUUUGAUGUUCCACUGCUUUCUACAACUCAACCUCUCUAAAACUUUCCACCAUACCAAGGCCUCCUCCCCAUCCCCCUUGACAGUAUUUCUGUCUGUCUCACAAGUCUGAUAUUUAGUUGUCGUCGUCAACUCUGCCCUCUCUUUCCCUCACCAAAUGUUGUCCCUCAAGCCAGGGCUUUGCAAAUCCAGGUCGCUUGGCCACUAUGGCAACUAAGAUUUCAGUCUGGUCAACUACAUUUUGUUGUGAUCUGCUCUAUAGUUUGAACCCGAUUGGCUGGAUCAGAUCAUGUUAGUGACAAGAGGGAAAUUGCCCUGAUGCAUGCAGCAAUAGACAGUCAUGAUGGAGUACCCAUUGGUGGAAGAAAAAGAUUGGUGGAACAGAGCACUCUGUUCACCUUCACUGGCUCCCAAAUCUCCAACUGUGGAUCUCAGCUCUGACAAACCCGGUCCCAAUAUCAUGGUUGCCUGAUUCUGUCUGUCACUGAAGAGGCAGUAAGAGUAGGUGAUCCUGUCAGCCAGGGUUACCAGUCAAACAACUACCACUGUGCUGGCAGUUCACACUGCAGAAUUAUUGACUGUGCUGUUACUAGAUGUGUGCGUUCAGCUCUGAAACUACCAUGACCUGCUCCAGAACUGUUACACCACAGCCAUAGGAUCUCCCUACCGAUUAUAGUGACAUCAGACCUCUAGCAUUCUUCUUCGAUGUGGGUGCUGUGACUAUUGGAUAUGCUUUUACACACAGAACUGUCAUUAUCCAACCAAUUGUGCCCAUCAGCAUGCACAGGACCUCCCAGCGACUUGCACACUCCAGCAGGAGCUAGGGACACACUGAUUUUGCACUGUUUCGUGUCCUGUAUGCUCCGGUCACACUCUGCCCUUGGAGCUAAUAUCCUGAGGUGCCCAAGCAUUGCUGGUGAGAAUAUGUGGCUGUACCUCUAGUUCCUGGGAAAAGCCAAACAAGAUUGAGAGGAGGUGAUCUACCCAGGUACCUUUUCCAUUGCUUCAUAUCUUUAAGUGCGCCUUUCUCAGAAGGCGAAAUGUGGUAUAUAGUAACCCUGCCUAAUGGUGGUCAUUCCGAGUUGUUCGCUUGUUGCUGAUUUUCGCUAUGCUGCGAUUUGUUGCUUAAUGCACAUGAUACGCAGAGCGCAUGCGCUAAGUUAUUUUACACAAAACUUAGUAGAUUUGCUGGUGUUCGUGCGGCGCUUUUCAGUCGCACUGCUGAUUGGUGAAUGAUUGACAGGAAAGGGGCGUUUCUGGGUGGUAACUGAGCGUUUUCCGGGAGUGUGCUAAAAAAUGCAGGCGUGUCAGGGAAAAACGAGGGAGUGUCUGGAGAAACAGGGGAGUGGCUGGCCGAAACGCAGGGCGUGUUUGUGACGUCAAACCAGGAACUAAACGGACCGAGCUGAUCGCAAUCUAGGAGUAGGUCUGGAGCUACUCAGAAAUGCAAGAAUAUAUUUAGUAGCAAUUCUGCUACUCUUUCGUUCGCUAUUCUGUUAAGCUAAAAUACACUCCCACAGGGCGGCGGCCUAGCGUGUGCAAUGCUGCUAAAAUCAGCUAGCGAGCGAACAACUCGGAAUGACCACCCAUAUCUGU
Pseudophryne corroboree (corroboree frog) is the source of this 1730-nucleotide long non-coding RNA. RefSeq lists it as uncharacterized. The transcript is spliced from 3 exons. The record is from RefSeq and is a predicted model, not a curated record. Lineage: Eukaryota; Metazoa; Chordata; Amphibia; Anura; Myobatrachidae.